RNAcentral lists this ribosomal RNA (120 nucleotides) under Helianthus annuus (common sunflower). The record is from RNAcentral. Lineage: Eukaryota; Viridiplantae; Streptophyta; Magnoliopsida; Asterales; Asteraceae.
GGUUGCGAUCCUACCAGCACUAAUGCACCGGAUCCCAUCAGAACUCCGCAGUUAAGCGUGCUUAGACGAGAGUAGUACUAGGAUGGGUGACCCCCUGGGAAGUCCUCGUGUUGCAACCCC